UACGUAGGGUGCGAGCGUUAAUCGGAAUUACUGGGCGUAAAGCGUGCGCAGGCGGUUCUCCAAGUCCGUUGUGAAAGCCCCGGGCUCAACCUGGGAAUGGCAGUGGAAACUAGGGGACUGGAAUCUGGCAGAGGGGGGUGGGAUGCCGCGUGUAGCAGUGAAAUGCGUAGAGAUGCGGCGGAACACCGAUGGCGAAGGCAGCCCCCUGGGCUGAGAUUGACGCUCAGGCACGAAAGCGUGGGGAGCAAACAGG
Molecule: ribosomal RNA, 253 nt
Filed under: uncultured bacterium
Lineage: Bacteria
Description: partial 16S ribosomal RNA
Rfam family: Bacterial small subunit ribosomal RNA
Source: RNAcentral